GACGAACGCUGGCGGCGUGCCUAAUACAUGCAAGUCGAACGCAUUUUCUUUCACCGUAGCUUGCUACACUGAGAGAAAAUGAGUUGCGAACGGGGGAGUAACACGUCCGUAACCUGCCCAUCAGCGAGGGAUAACACUUGGAAACAGGUGCUAAUACCGCAUAAUUCCAUUUACCGCAUGGUAAAUGGCUGAUGGGCGACUUUGCGCUACUGAUGGAUGGACUCGCGGUGCAUUAGCUAGUUGGUGAGGUAACGGCCUACCAAGGCAGCGAUGCAUAGCCGACCUGAGAGGGUGAUCGGCCACACUGGGACUGAGACACGGCCCAGACUCCUACGGGAGGCAGCAGUAGGGAAUCUUCGGCAAUGGAGGCAAGUCUGACCGAGCAACGCCGCGUGAGUGAAGAAGGGUUUCGGAUCGUAAAACUCUGUUGUUAGUGAAGAACAAGGAUGAGAGUGGAAAGUUCAUCCCUUGACGGUAGCUAAACAGAAAGCCACGGCUAACUACGUG
RNAcentral lists this ribosomal RNA (507 nucleotides) under uncultured bacterium. RNAcentral's name for it is "partial 16S ribosomal RNA". It matches the Rfam family "Bacterial small subunit ribosomal RNA", at positions 28 to 507 of the family's 1533-position model. The record is from RNAcentral.